This 845-nucleotide long non-coding RNA is filed under the name Homo sapiens (human). Its description in RNAcentral is "non-protein coding lnc-LARP4B-5:1". The record is from RNAcentral. Lineage: Eukaryota; Metazoa; Chordata; Mammalia; Primates; Hominidae.
UCAAAGUGCAGCAGAUGGCGCAAAAACUAAUGAGCAUGUUCCCAAGGCCACGGAGAUCCAGCCUGCGUGCCUCGGACUUCCUAGGCUGCCCAGCUGCUGGUGUGAGCAAGGGUGCAGCCCUCCCGGCCAAUGUCACACACAGACAGGACUCCAGGAUAAACCCAUGUGGCUCUGCCUGGCAGGCCUGGCCUCCGCCUUGCACCUUGCCUUCCCCUUGCUCCGAAUCAGCAAACGCCUCCAGGCUGAAGCGAGCUCCCGUCUUUCCUUGGAGCUUGCUCAGGGAUUCUUCAUGUCCUGUUAGUCCUCUGAUGUUUUCCAGAAGACUUUGAAUGCUGCCUCUUCAGUGGUCUCCAGAGGGCUGGACUGCCUAGCCUACACAUCCUGAGGCAGAAGCCUUACAACCGGCGUCUCUUCAUGCUUCUAGCGCAUCCUAGGAGACAUCUUCCAGCAAAUCCUGCCAAUUACACACUGGGGCCCAUUCUGUUAUGCACUUGGUUCUGGGCUGCUGCAAUUUCUUCCUUUUAAAGGUUGUCUGUUAUGCAGUUGGUUCUGGGCUGGUGCGAUUUCUUCCUUUUAAAGGUUGCCUGUUAUGCAGUUGGUUCUGGACUGGUGCGAUUUCUUCCUUUUAAAGGUUGUCUGUUAUGCAGUUGGUUCUGGACUGGUGCGAUUUCUUCCUUUUAAAGGUUGUCUGUUAUGCAGUUGGUUCUGGGCUGGUGCGAUUUCUUCCUUUUAAAGGUUGUCUGUUAUGCAGUUGAUUCUGGGCUGGUGCAAUUUCUUCCUCUUAAAGGUUGUAUGUUAAACUCCCUGGAGCUCUAUCUGUGGCUCCUAGUGGCAGCCUCUUCUCG